RNAcentral lists this non-coding RNA (788 nucleotides) under Tropiphorus elevatus. The record is from RNAcentral. Lineage: Eukaryota; Metazoa; Arthropoda; Insecta; Coleoptera; Curculionidae.
UAAAAGUUUUUUUAGCUUUUAUUUAUUAUUGAUCCUAAUUUUAUAUGUAAGUUUUAGCGAGAAAAAGAUUUAAUUUUUAAUAGAUUAAAUAAUUUAUUAUAGAUUCACAGUAAGACGUUUUGAUUAUUUAAGUAAUUAAGAAUCAUUUAAGGUAUUUAGUAUUAACAAAGUUUGUGCCAGCAGUUGCGGUUAUACAGAUAAUAUAAUAGUAAAUGUUAGGCUUUAAUUAAAAAUUGAUUGGUAGAGAAUGAUUUAUUAAUUUUAUUAAGUGAAAUUUUAAAAUUAAUAGAAAUUUUGAUUAAGUUUUUGAGGUUAGAAAACUUAAAUAUUAAACUAGGAUUAGAUACCCUAUUAUUUUAAGUGUAAUUUUUAAUAGCCAGGUAAGUAGUAGUUAGGUUCUUAAAAACUAAAAAUUUUGGCGGUAUUUUAGUCUAUUCAGAGGAAUCUGCCCUAUAAUUGAUGGUCCACGAGUUUUCUUACUUGUUUUAAGGUUUACAUAUCGUCGUAGUUUGAAUAUUUUUGAAAAAUUUAAAUGUUCAAUAUUUAUUUAAGUAAUAGAAUUCAGAUCAAGGUGUAGCUUAUAUUCAAGAAGAGGUGGAUUACAAUAAAUUUAUUUAUAAUGAAUCAAUAAGUGAGAUUUUAUUGUGAAGGUGGAUUUGAGGGUAAUUUUACUUAAAUUAGUAUUAUGAUUUUAGCUCUAAAAUAUGCACAUAUCGCCCGUCGCUUUCGUUAUAAAAUGAAAUAAGUCGUAACAGAGUAGGGGUACUGGAAAGUGUUCCUAGAAAGAA